Long non-coding RNA from Corvus hawaiiensis (hawaiian crow), 4350 nucleotides. RefSeq lists it as uncharacterized. Lineage: Eukaryota; Metazoa; Chordata; Aves; Passeriformes; Corvidae. The transcript has 4 exons. The record is from RefSeq and is a predicted model, not a curated record.
AAAUAUUUUUGAAAGCCACUUUUCUAAAUGGCAUUUGUUCCAGAGCAUUUUCUUUAUUUCUUGCAGUAAUGUUUAUAUCCUCUUUUGGAAGGGCUCAGAUACUUCAAUACCAAAACUUACAUAUCUAUCACUUCAGUACAGCCAUCUCUGAGGCGCAAUGCAGAAACUACCACAGGAGCAAAAAUAUUCACUAAUGGAUUAAAUAGCAACUCCUUUUUUAUUGCUUCUUCCUUAAUAACAUAUUAGUUAUUUAGAUGAUUGUAUACUGAGAAACACUUGCAGCAUUAUUUUUUAGUAAACCAAAAUCUGUAAAAGUAGCUGGUCUCAUCUCACUAUAAAUGCUAUUUGUCAAAUUAGUCAUCUUUCCAUAAAUCCCUGAAUGUCCAACUUAUAAAGUGAUCACUGUACACUUGAAUAGCUGUGAUUUUCUAAGAAAUAGAGGAACUGGUGAAUGUAGGGGAGAAGAAACUAUUUUCCCAAGCCGUGCACAUUCUUAAUAUGCAUAUAUAAUUUUGGGUCCUGCUGCUUGCUUCUUUUUGUUUUAAACAAGUCUUUGUUCCUGUUUCUGACACUGAAACUAUGUCAGAUGCAAGGAGGAGGACCAAGCUGAGGAAUUCAGAUACCAUCAUCUCUUGGGGACACUUAGUGACUCAGAGAAAUACAGUAAAAAUGGUACUACACUUCCUGCUAGCUCUCCUUUAACCCCAUUAGAAAAAAAAUUGAAGUGUUUAAAACCGGGCCAAAGAGACAAACAAGGAAAGCAGAAAGGAGCUUGAUUAUCUUGUUCUUACUGUCUUUAACAGUAAAUAUAUUGAAUGAAUUUUAUUGAAAUGUAAUUUAUUGAUGUAUUGAAUCAAUUUGCUGUCAACCUUUCUCUCAGUGAAUAAUACAAAGCUGCGCAGAAUUCAGGUAUAUUGUAAAAUCAAAGAAAAAGCAUCAGCUGAAAUACAACCACAUUUUUGCCUUAAACACAUACGGUUGACACUAUUAAACAUAAUGCAUCACUGAGUCAUACAGAAUGGCAAAACACAUUUAUUUUUCUCUAUAUUUUAUAUUUGUUUAUAUUAGCUUUUGACAGCAUUUUUGCUGCUUCUCAUAUAAAGUCUGUCCCCCCUGUUGCUUUGUGGAUCUUUCAGACAGCACAAAAGAUCUUAAGGACAUGGUUCUGAGUCACACUCCAGCUUGAAAUAUCUUAAUUUUCUUUUUAAAGAUUUGAGAUUUCAAUAACUCUGAUACUUUAUGUAAAAAAUAGUAACUUUAUAUGCGCAUACACUACUAGAAUUAUACAUUGUGCCUGGCUUUUCCUUAUUCUCAUUCUACUAAAUCAAUUUACAUAUUCAGAGCCUAAUAUAAACACGUGUUUAUUCACCUGGAAUGCUCACCUGUGAGAUCAGUCAAUAUUGCUGUUUCUUUCUCCCACUGUAGGAAAAUAAGGGUCAAGAAAUAUUUUAUUCAAGCCUACAACAGAUUUAAUUAAAUUCUCAGACUUAGGAAAAUUCUCUGGAUUUUAGGCCUACAAGUGUGUUACAAUACUGAACUUCUUACAGAGCCCAUUAAUUUUUUUCCUCAUUUAAAUGCCCUGGACAUUUUAGACCUUCUUCCAUUCCCCCUUCCCAACAAUGACCUGACCAGGAUGUAGCCUACUACAGAGACUGGAUUUAUUUUAAAUGCCAAUUCCCAUCAGGAAUCCUUUUAACUACAGAGAAGCAACCAAAUACCAAUUAAACUGACCUACCUGUUACCUGGAAAAAAAGUAGAAUUUGAAGUUCAGUUCUUGUAGUAAUUACCUGGAUCUAACAGGCAGGACUUGGACUAAAUCUUGCCUGGGGCAGGCUUUUCUGACACUAAUUAGCCCAAACGAAAAGAAAACAACCAACAUAAAUCCCCCCAAAACUAAUAUGUGUGUGAUCAGGUAACAGAAGCUGAAACUAGAGGGGAAAGAAAAGAGUUCUCAGGAUUUUUCUGUCUCAAGCAGACUAAUUUUACCAUGUCCCCCUGCAUACAGCAACAGUGCUCUGUGCCACAGAUUGGUGGUGACGCUCUUAUCAACCUUGAAAUUUUAAUCUAAUUCUUUUUCCUGUAUAGAAAUUCACUCACUUCACAGAAGUAAGGAUCUGUUUACAGGAAUCUAACAAAGAGAGAAAAAAUCCCCUUCAAAAUAUUAAUAUCAGAUGGAAAAACAGGAAGAAGCUUCGUACAGUUUUAAGUUUAUGAGUAUGCAACACUGAGGAGAAAGGAGCGUGGAUCUCUAACUGAUGCCUGAAGGUGUUGCAAUGAUUCAGUGGUGUGGGGAUUGGCUUCUGCUGGAAACAACUGCAGCUUCUAUGGGAAUGAUUAGGCCAACAAUUUGUGGAACCAUAGUUUCUGCCCUGAAACUGGGGACUCAGCAGGCUUGUACUGAGAAGCUUUAGGGUUCCAUGAAGAAAACAGAAGUGUCUGUUCUAAGUCAUGUAAACUACCCAAAAGCAUCCUGCCAAACAUGAAAAAAAUAAAGCUGCUGUUCUUGGUGUUUUCAGUCACAAUAUUAGCCAUGGGAAUUCAGCUUGUCAGAAAUUCAGGUUUUGCUGUUAUUAUAGAAUGAAAAGAUGGCAUUUUGCUGCUGUGGAAUGGUAAUAAUAUGCACAAUGGAAUCUCAAGUCCUACUUCUUGGACCUCUUCAGUACAAACACCUAAACCAAAUUGUGUUCAUCAUUCAAAAGUAUGAGAGAAGAAGACAAAAAUCAGAACAAUCAGCCAGCUUUGCAGCCAACAAAAUUCAGAGGUACUUGUAUAGCUGGGAAACCCUGCCUCUACUAAAUUCCAUUAGAAUUCACUGACAUCCUACAAGUGUAAGGCUGCCAUAUCAUCAGGUUUUUUUAGCAGAAAGUGUUAUAUGUGAAUUUUGUUUGGGCACUUGUGUGAGAUACCAGUGCUUAAGAGCAGUGUAGGUGUGUGACUUACCAGUGAAGGCUGCAAAAAUUGCAUUUCAGGAAUGAAAGUCCAGAUACAUGUGUGUAUGUGUUUAUGUUAAAAUGGAGGAAACAGGAGUAUUACAAUGAAAUAAUGCAAAGUACAUCACACAUCCAUGGGUUGUUUUAUUCAACUGCUUUCUCUGCAAUUUAUCUUCAUUCUUCUGGAAGCUGGUUCUUAAAGGUUUAAAAACUGAUUACUCAAAUAAGUUUAUGCAAAUGACCAAUCCAUUUAAAUUGCAGAUGAGGACCAUUUAUUUCCCUGUAGUGAAUACAAGAAAUAUAAUAAAAAUAAAUCAAAAGUCAGAAGUUUUAGGCAAUAUCACUGCUAAAGAUUAUUCUCCAAUUUUGGACUGCAAUCCUGAUGCAAUUGUUCAAAAAAUCCUCAUUCACACAACUAUAGGACUUCCUAAUAUAAGAGAAUAUGCCAGGUAAGAUGUAACAGCCUCAUUUUCUGUAGUAUAAAUGACUCCAUUAGUAACAAUACUCUAAAUAAAUCUAUCCAUGCCACUUAGUCUAAGUAUACAACAACUUAGAGCUAGGUUAAAAAGUGCUGGGAAAAAUACUUGCCAGUAUUGCCAACAGUCCAGGAAUCUUUCUAUGUAAUUAUGUGCCAGCCAGUUUUCACACUCAAUUCAAAUCGCUUUGUUUCUGAAAAAUGCUGCUGGACAAAAUAUAUUUGGUCAGUGAAGAAACUAGGGAUAUUAUUGUGUGGAAAUGGCUAGAUCAGCCUAUCUAGAAUAAAAUUAAUGUGAAAUUCAAACCAACAGGGAGCAUAUCUAAUCUCUUAAAAAUUUUUUUUAAGCUAUUGCGAAGUUAUGUCUUGGCACUUCUCUGUUUCAGCCAGAACUGAAAUCGGAAAUGCCAAAAUAUAGUUCUUGAACUACAGCUGACCUGAAUGAAACAAGGAAGCACUACAAAGUCACAAGACAGACUGUUUUUAGGAAAUUGCCAUCUAAUUUCCCAGCUGGAGAAGUUUGGAUGAGAUCAGGUAAACUCUGGAAACUGCUAAACUUCUGGAUGUGUAUCUGAACUGAACUACCAAUCCUUUGUGACUCAUCUGUUACUGAAGUCCACAUUUUGUGGAUGACUAUAAAUAAAAUAGUUUUACUUUGAGAAAGAAAGGAGGAAACACAACAUACUACAGAAAUCAGAGGUUUGCCUGCAUUAUCCUCAAAUUAGAACUGUACUGUACAUUCAAUUGUACUGAUCAUAGUGAUUUAAAUAAAGGGUACGUCCCUGAAGUCAUUGGUGCUAAACUGGUUUAUCUGGGAAAAUAUUUCUGCCAUAUCUGUUCAUGACACGCAGAAGUAAACUGCAGAUAUAGUGGGCCUUAUUAAUCCAUGAUAUAAACUUCCACUGCUUCAAUGCUAUUUCAUUAGGAAUAAAGUUGAUGAACUAA